Molecule: non-coding RNA, 470 nt
Organism: Struthio camelus australis
Lineage: Eukaryota; Metazoa; Chordata; Aves; Struthioniformes; Struthionidae
Source: RefSeq, a predicted model, not a curated record
GCCCCGAUCCUGCCACGUACACAGUGAUUGGCAGCACAACUCGGAAACAUCCCGUGUAAGGGGAAGGAAAGCCUCGCCUACAGUGUUGCUGGCACACGAGUAGCCAAGGACAAAGAAUGGAUGAAACUGCCUCUUUGAGGAGCACCUUGAACUUACUGUGGAUUAAAAUGAGUGGCUCCACAGUACGCAGUCUUUUCUGGUGCCCCUCGAAUGACUCUUCUUCUCUCUUCCAAAUUCCACGCUGUCACGAAACAGAAUACUACUAAGUAGAUUUAAAAGAGCUAUCACCUUGAAAAUAAUGUUUUUUUUUCCUCUAGACCAAAUGGGAAAGGAAAGAGGGAGGGACAAGAAGCAAAAGUUCACACUGGCCUGAAUUGUUUCUUUAGAGGAUUGCUUCUUUUAAAACUCAUUGCAUUGGAAUUUUCUGAAUGUAAAUCACAUGAAUUGUUUCAAUUUGUUUCAGGUUUUAA